Molecule: unclassified non-coding RNA, 450 nt
Filed under: Hevea brasiliensis (rubber tree)
Lineage: Eukaryota; Viridiplantae; Streptophyta; Magnoliopsida; Malpighiales; Euphorbiaceae
Source: RNAcentral
GGCUACAAGGAUUCAUCUGUCUUGCGUUUUUCCACCACUGUAACUGGGUACUUGGAGAAAGGAAAACUGGCUGAUGUUUCAGGGAUUAAGACUAAGGUGAUGGUUUGGGUUAAAGUGACUUGUAUCACUUCUGAUGGAUCGAAGCUCCAUUUCACAGCUGGGAUGAAGAAAACCAGGAAUAGAGAUGCAUAUGAGGUCCUUAGAGAUGGAGUGAGUGUAGACAAGUUCUAAAGUGGUGAAAAUGCUUCCUAGGCAUGAUGAUUUUGUGAAUAACGACUUUGCAAUCUACUGGAUCCUUUUGCUUGCCCUUCUCAUUGGAUGAGUAGAGUCAUUUAAACUGAAUUCUUGUGUUUACCGUAGGUGCAAUAAAGUUAAUGAAUUCCAUUGUAUUGAUAUUAGAUCACCCAUAUAAACUGAGUACCAACACGCGAAUUAUUAACUUUAUUGCAC